GUGCUCGCUUUGGCAGUACCUAUACUAAAAUUGGAAGGAUACAGAGAAGAUCAGUAUGUUCCCUGCACAAGAAUGGCAUGCAAAUUUGUGAAGCAUUCCAUAUUUUC
Molecule: small nuclear RNA, 107 nt
Filed under: Moschus moschiferus (Siberian musk deer)
Lineage: Eukaryota; Metazoa; Chordata; Mammalia; Artiodactyla; Moschidae
Source: RNAcentral